Molecule: long non-coding RNA, 840 nt
Filed under: Nicotiana benthamiana
Lineage: Eukaryota; Viridiplantae; Streptophyta; Magnoliopsida; Solanales; Solanaceae
Description: long non-coding RNA (NBEN_LNC024966)
Source: RNAcentral
UUCAGGAGAAAAUUUUGAGAACUGAAAAAUAUAGAACUGAAUUUUUGAGAUAAAGAUUCAGAACUCAAGAGUGAGAGUAGAAUUGAUUCUUCGAUAACUGAAAAGAAUUGAACCUUAGAAUUUCCAGAGAAAAACUAAAAAUUUCAGGGAAAUAGAAUGUCUAGGCUGGCUUGUUAACACCUAAAGAGCUAAAUUAGAAAAUUGAUAAUCAGGGCUGAGUUUUUGAGUGUGCAUAGACAUAAACACCACUUCCCUCCCAUAUGUUCAUCUCUACUGUGAUUGUGAGUGUGUUCUGGAGUGUUAUUGAAAUGUCAGUGUAUUAUUCCUGGUGUUCUGGUGUUAACUGGUAUUCUAGUAUUCAUCUGGGUUAUUAUUGAGUUGUCGUUGGUGUUAAAGUACUACUGCACCUAUUGUGGACUCUUCCUAUUUGGUUUUCUUCAAUCUACUGCUGGGUUUCUGCUAUCAUUACUAGAAUUGGUGUUUUGCUGAAGUUUUGCGUUGCUGUGUUUGCUUGAUGUCCACUGAUACUUUUCCUUUCCUUUGCUUCUCAGAAAUACCAGGUACACAUACUACACUGGUACACAAUGUAGCUGGAAUAAAUCGAAGCAUGAAUAAAAUGAGCCUUAAGGCAUGAAGUCAUUAGCUGUAGUUUUAUAUUCUGUAUGCGUGUAUGUUAGCUUUCUGUUCGUUAGAAUUAGGUGAUUAACUUCAAUGUAUCAAUAAGGUUCAAUCUGUAAUAAUAUAAGUUUACCAACUUAUGUAUGCUAGUAAGAAAAAUCGAUGAUGCAGCUAUUCUUCCAUUUCCAGUUUUCCACUCAAUUAUAGCACAUUUAAAUAGAC